AUCUACGGUCAUACCACCCUGAACAUGCCCUAUCUCGUCUGAUCUCGGAAGCUACUCAGGGUUGGACGGUUAUACUUAGACAGGAGACUGGAGUUU
Ribosomal RNA from Bison bison bison, 96 nucleotides. Lineage: Eukaryota; Metazoa; Chordata; Mammalia; Artiodactyla; Bovidae. The record is from Ensembl.